UAGAUUAUCCUUUUCAAAUAUAAAAGAAAAAGAAAAAACUAAUGAGACGUAUUCCAUUUUUUCUCUAACCUGGACGGAGCAUGAAGAAAAGAGGAAGAGAAAGUGAGAGAGAAUGAGGUCGUUGCUAGCGAUCGGAGGCAGAGAGAGGUUAGCACCAUUUGAAUCGAAGAUGGAGAGAAGCCACCUCAAGUAGCCAAUUGACGAUUCGAGAAGGUUCGCGCUUUUCGAUAAUCGGCAGUGGUUGUGUGGUGAAAACCUGAUGGAGAACACCGUUGUGCUUUCGCUUACGGACCAAAGUGAGGGCACGAUCGAAAUUCCAACACAAAAGAAGCAUUUUGGGGCAUGGAAAUAGGAGAAACUGUGAUUUGAAACUCAGUCCAAUGGGAUUCCUUAUAAAAGGAGGUUUGGUCAGUCAUCAUCCAAUGAUUGUUGCUUGCCACUGUGAGGGUAAAGGAUGGAAAUUUUGGGGUGAUAGCAAUUUGAAGAGUAAAUUUUAGGGUCACUCAAUUCAGCUUGAUCAUGUUGUUCUUUUAAUGGUGGAAUUUGAUGACAGAGAAAUUUUUCAAUGGAGUAAGGUUACAACAUCAAUUAACAACCUUAUAUUGGGAAAGCUCUAUUGUGACCACUGUGGUACAAUGCGUAUACAAGGGAAUCAUAACUAUUCUUGCAAGCUGAAAUUCAAGGAGCAAUCUAUCAUUGACCAAACUCCUCACUAGAUAUUCUUUCUUUAUCUUUUAAUUUUCAAAUGUUUACUUGCAUAUAGUUUUAUAUGGAUAUUUGGAGGUCUUCUUAGAUGACUGAAAAAAAGCAUGGCAAUUUUUUUCUCUAGGAACGUAAUGUGGCAUAACUUCUUCAAUUGUUUGGUUUGUUUCUUUGUGGAAUGAGAUAUAAUUAUGUUGUUUAAUAACUUUAAUUUAAUUUGAUGGAAAUUAUAUUAGGUGGAGGCUAUCAAAUUAUUGAAAUCUCUCUCCAUAUUUGUUGACAAAGGAUUUAUUUUAUUUUAUGUUAUUUUUUUGAAAGCCUAAUAUAUAAUAAAGUCUGGACAGCCUAUAAUCCCAUUAUAUUGGAAAUAUAAUUCCUUUAGUUUCUAAAUAUGAUGAUACCAACUUCGAAUCCUCCAAAGGGGUUGGAGUUGACAGCAACAGAAAUUUUUAUUAGUUAAUCCUUUAUGGGAGUUGAAGUUGUCUGCAAGAACAAUAUGUAUGGAUUAUGAGAGGUGGAGCAUCAAUCAUUUUCUUACCCCUUUGGUUUUAUUUUGCUUCUAGAAGAAAGCCAUUUUUUAUUUUUUUUAAAAUAAAUACAUCAAACCAAAGGAUUCUAUUUUUGGGUGAACAAAAUGGAUUGAGGGUAUAGAUUCUGUUAAUAAGUACUAUAAUAUUGUUAACAAGCUUAAGGAUUGUUCUUUUAAAAUUAUUGCUGUUUUCUUUUUCGGUCAGAUACAUGGUUUAGUUCAAGAUAGAAAUGGAAAAACAAUAGCAAUACUAUUUGGAAAAUGGGAUGAGAGCAUGCAUUAUGUGGAUGGAAAUUGUUCUGGGAAGGGAAAAGGAUUGGAGUCUUGACCUGAUGCCCAGUUGCUUUGGAAGAGGAGCAAGCCACCCCAGUUUCCUACAAGAUAUAACUUGCCACGCUUUGCCAUCACCAUGAAUGAACUCACCCAUGGAUUAAGGGAAAAGUUAUCCCCUAUAGAUUUAAGGCUCAGGCCCGAUCAAAGGUAUCUAGACAUUGAUUGCUACAACUUUUUAUCCCUCGCCACAGUCUUGAUGUUACAGAUAAUGAAAUUCAAACCAUGCCAUGGGCAGCGAUUCUUGAAAAGAAGGAAAACUACUUGAUUGGAAUGCUUAACAAGGGAGUACUUGCAUUUCCAAUCUCAAAAUGGGUCCCUGGUGUUGGUCCAACUGUCAAAUCUGGUUCAAAGGGAAAGCGUCAUUGUUUGAUACUGACUAAAACCCUUGAGUGGACCUUAAAUUGGUGCAUACUACAAAGCAUGUUUGAUAGGUAUGUUAAACUUGACCGUGCAUUUCUUGUCAUGGAUUUCUGUUCAUAUUUAAGAUACAUAUUUUGAUUGGUGCGUACAGUUGGACAUAUGUCAAGAUGUAAUAUGUAAAAUGUCCAUUUCAUAUUUCUUAGACAAUAUGUAGAAGACAAGAAGUUAUUUUUAAAUU
Ziziphus jujuba (common jujube) is the source of this 2162-nucleotide long non-coding RNA. RefSeq lists it as uncharacterized. The transcript has 7 exons. The record is from RefSeq and is a predicted model, not a curated record. Lineage: Eukaryota; Viridiplantae; Streptophyta; Magnoliopsida; Rosales; Rhamnaceae.